This 165-nucleotide small nuclear RNA is filed under the name Cervus hanglu yarkandensis (Yarkand deer). The record is from RNAcentral. Lineage: Eukaryota; Metazoa; Chordata; Mammalia; Artiodactyla; Cervidae.
GUGCUCCCUUCAGCAGCACAUAUACUAAAAUUGAAACCAUACAGGGCUUCCCAGGUGAUGCUAGUGGAAAAGAAUCUGCCUGCCAAUGCAGAAACAAUACAGGUAAGAUUAACAUGGCCCCUGGGUAAGGACGACAGGCAAAUUGGUGAAAGCAUUCCAUAUUUU